RNAcentral lists this ribosomal RNA (497 nucleotides) under uncultured bacterium. RNAcentral's name for it is "partial 16S ribosomal RNA". It matches the Rfam family "Bacterial small subunit ribosomal RNA", at positions 28 to 507 of the family's 1533-position model. The record is from RNAcentral.
GAUGAACGCUGGCGGCGUGCCUAAUACAUGCAAGUCGAGCGAACAGACGAGGAGCUUGCUCCUCUGACGUUAGCGGCGGGCGGGUGAGUAACACGUGGAUAACCUACCUAUCAUACUGAUAUAACUUCGGAAAACCGGAGCUAAUACCGUAUAAUAUAUUGAACCGCAUGGUGCAAUGGUGAAAUACGGUUUUGCUGUCACGUCUAGAGGCUUACCUGCCGGAUUAGCUAGUUGGUACGGUAACGGCUUACGAAGGCAACGAUGCGUGGCCGACCUGACAGGGGGGUCGGCCACACUGGAACUGAGACACGGUCCAGGCUCCUACGGGAGGCAGCAGUAGGGAAUCUUACGCAGUGGGCGAAAGCUUGACGGAGCAACGCCGCGUGAGUGAUGAAGAUCUUCCGAUCGUAAAACUCUGUUAUUAGGGAAGAACAAAUGUGUAAGUAAAUAUGCACGUCGUGACGGUACCUAAUAAGAAAGCCCCGGCUAACUACGUG